This 468-nucleotide ribosomal RNA is filed under the name uncultured bacterium. RNAcentral's name for it is "partial 16S ribosomal RNA". It matches the Rfam family "Bacterial small subunit ribosomal RNA", at positions 28 to 507 of the family's 1533-position model. The record is from RNAcentral.
GACGAACGCUGGCGGCGUGCUUAACACAUGCAAGUCGAACGGUGAAGCUCCAGCUUGCUGGAGUGGAUCAGUGGCGAACGGGUGAGUAACACGUGAGCAACCUGCCCCUGACUCUGGAAUAAGCGCUGGAAACGGCGUCUAAUACUGGAUACGAGAAGGGUCCGCAUGGGCACUUUCUGGAAAGUUUUUCGGUUGGGGAUGGGCUCGCGGCCUAUCAGCUUGUUGGUGGGGUAAUGGCUCACCAAGGCGACGACGGGUAGCCGGCCUGAGAGGGCGACCGGCCACACUGGGACUGAGACACGGCCCAGACUCCUACGGGAGGCAGCAGUGGGGAAUAUUGCACAAUGGGCGAAAGCCUGAUGCAGCGACGCCGCGUGAGGGAUGACGGCCUUCGGGUUGUAAACCUCUUUCAGCAGGGAAGAAGCGAAAGUGACGGUACCUGCAGAAGAAGCACCGGCUAACUACGUG